Molecule: long non-coding RNA, 582 nt
Organism: Apis cerana (Asiatic honeybee)
Lineage: Eukaryota; Metazoa; Arthropoda; Insecta; Hymenoptera; Apidae
Source: RefSeq, a predicted model, not a curated record
CUCAGGCCACAUCGAAAGGCCGCCGAAAACUCGAAAGAAGAAAACGAUAUAUCUUCUCCCCGAAGAGGAAAAAAUUGAAACAUCUUUUUCACGAGUUCGUAGAAAAAUCUUACGCGAAGGUGUAAAUUAAAUAACAUCUCUUAUGGCUCUCUUCGAGGAUGUUGGCGCACAAUUAUUCUCCUCGAAGAAGCUAACGGAAGAAUUCAACCACGUUUGCAACGACCUUUGACGUGGCCUCGUGCGAAACAGGCCAGGCAAACGUAGAUACAAUGAAAACCGAGCUAUUCAACAGUCGUGUAUUUAAUAUCUGGAGCUAUAGAAACUAGGAUGCCGGCAAUAAUGCAAAGUUCGCGCUUUAAAUGCGAUGACCCUAAUUUUUAUUUACUACGCGGCGGUAUAUCGACGAUGAUGAUUCGCGAAUGAAGGUAUGCGAAUGAAGAUAUGCGAACUUGAUAUGCCAAUUAUAUCAACAAGAUCGAAAUUCUAUGGAAAGAGGCAAUGCGUCGGUGUUCGUAGAAAGUUUUGCUCGUAUUCAAAUGGACGAGGAUUUCGGUCCCAGAUGUCGGCCGAAACUGGCCACCC